Dendrobium catenatum is the source of this 255-nucleotide long non-coding RNA. RefSeq lists it as uncharacterized. The transcript is spliced from 3 exons. The record is from RefSeq and is a predicted model, not a curated record. NCBI's taxonomy places the organism in Eukaryota, Viridiplantae, Streptophyta, Magnoliopsida, Asparagales, Orchidaceae.
CUUAUUUUGAGACCGCGAUGGACGUCCACUGGAUCUUAGGCAGCUUCGUCUUGGCCAGACAGACGGAGUCACUCUGGGGGCUCUCUCUCCCUCUUCCGCCCGGUUUGUCGAGGCUAUCGGAGAAAAGAAGGUAGAAGAAGAAUGUGGGGCUCCGCUCGAGUGACGUUUCGGCGUCUUGCUACUGCGGUGGCCGGUGCACCCGUGGAGCGGUGGGCUUUUGUCCAUCACCGGACGAAUCAGAAAAGUUUGAAGAGG